AGAUUGAACGCUAGCGGGAUGCUUUACACAUGCAAGUCGAACGGCAGCGCGGACUUCGGUCUGGCGGCGAGUGGCGAACGGGUGAGUAAUAUAUCGGAACGUGCCCAGUAGCGGGGGAUAACUACGCGAAAGCGUGGCUAAUACCGCAUACGCCCUACGGGGGAAAGGGGGGAUCGCAAGACCUCUCACUAUUGGAGCGGCCGAUAUCAGAUUAGCUAGUUGGUGAGUAAAGGCUCACCAAGGCGACGAUCUGUAGCUGGUUUGAGAGGACGACCAGCCACACUGGGACUGAGACACGGCCACGACUCCUACGGAGGCGAGCGAGUGGGUAAGUUUAGGUACGAAGUAGGGAAACCGUACGAUACACGACCAC
This 373-nucleotide ribosomal RNA is filed under the name uncultured soil bacterium. Its description in RNAcentral is "bacterial SSU rRNA". It matches the Rfam family "Bacterial small subunit ribosomal RNA", at positions 26 to 398 of the family's 1533-position model. The record is from RNAcentral.